RNAcentral lists this small RNA (127 nucleotides) under Marmota monax (woodchuck). Lineage: Eukaryota; Metazoa; Chordata; Mammalia; Rodentia; Sciuridae. The record is from RNAcentral.
UCUGGGCAUGGUGGCACAUGCCUAUAAUCCCAGCAACUCAGGAGGCUGAGGCAGUAGGAUUGCAAGUUUGAGGCCAGCUUCAGCAAUUUAUUGAGGCCUCAAGAAAUUUAGCAAGGCCCUGUCUCAA